This 965-nucleotide long non-coding RNA is filed under the name Panax ginseng (ginseng). RNAcentral describes it as "long non-coding RNA (PGIN_LNC010602)". Lineage: Eukaryota; Viridiplantae; Streptophyta; Magnoliopsida; Apiales; Araliaceae. The record is from RNAcentral.
AUAUUGCUAGCUAUUGAAUGACUAGGUAGAUCAGAGACAUAGUUUUUCUCAAGCUGAUUCUCUUCUAUUUUUUGGUAAUUUAGUUCUUGAAGAACUGUAUAUUUGAGUUGUUAUUUUAGCAAUAUAUGUAUGAGUGUUUUUAUUUUCUGAAACGGUGAGUUGUAGAUUUCACGCAGCCCAUUAUUUCUUAUUCUUCUAUUUUUCUCCUAAUCUGGAUAUUGUUAGUUAUUCUUUCUCAUCUCUCGAUCUAUGUUGUUAUUCGACUACUUUUUGUCUGUCGUUGUUCGAUUCGAAAGCGCCGGAGGUUAAUUUAUCGAUCCAUCGGCUCGGCUCUUCAAUUUAUUUGUACGUUUUGUAGUUAUUCAUAGAUUUGAAGACUUAUGGUUUCAAUCUGUGAACUUUAUUGAAUUUUUCUUUAGGAUAUUCAAUUUGAAAGUUUGGAGGUUGUGUUUUUGUAAUUUGUGUCAAAAUCCUGCAUUGCUUCAGUGUUGUAUAUGGGUUUAAUUUGUUUUAUGUUUUUUUUAUGAAGUUAGGGCUUUUGAUAGUUGUGAGGAUUGAAGCAGUUGAAAUAUGUGCAUCCAUAGCCCCGAGAAAAGGGAGAGUUAGGGUUUGUGACUUUUGGGGGAAUUGUUUGAACUUCCAUGGGCGAUGUCAGCGUUGCAUGUGUUCCUUCGCAGCAUAUUAUGGAGCAAUUUUCUAUUUUUCCCCUAAUCAUAUAUUUGGUUCACAGAACAUUCAGUUGUUGGACAAUCUAUAAGUUUUUUAUUUUUUUUAUUUUUAAUAACAUCAUUUGUUUGCUUCUAAUGUUUUUAAGCUUGGAGAUUAUAAAAUUUUGUCUGUCUAAAUGUUUUUAAAAUUGAUGUUAGCGAUUUUCAUAGCCGAUGUGAAUAAUAUAUUUAGAAGAAAUAAGGAGAGAAAAAGCGAGAGAGACUGGGAUGAAGGGGAUAGUAGGAAGAAGAUAGGGG